This 1397-nucleotide ribosomal RNA is filed under the name Escherichia coli. RNAcentral's name for it is "partial 23S ribosomal RNA". It matches the Rfam family "Bacterial large subunit ribosomal RNA", at positions 344 to 1746 of the family's 2925-position model. Lineage: Bacteria; Pseudomonadati; Pseudomonadota; Gammaproteobacteria; Enterobacterales; Enterobacteriaceae. The record is from RNAcentral.
GGAAAGGCGCGCGAUACAGGGUGACAGCCCCGUACACAAAAAUGCACAUGCUGUGAGCUCGAUGAGUAGGGCGGGACACGUGGUAUCCUGUCUGAAUAUGGGGGGACCAUCCUCCAAGGCUAAAUACUCCUGACUGACCGAUAGUGAACCAGUACCGUGAGGGAAAGGCGAAAAGAACCCCGGCGAGGGGAGUGAAAAAGAACCUGAAACCGUGUACGUACAAGCAGUGGGAGCACGCUUAGGCGUGUGACUGCGUACCUUUUGUAUAAUGGGUCAGCGACUUAUAUUCUGUAGCAAGGUUAACCGAAUAGGGGAGCCGAAGGGAAACCGAGUCUUAACUGGGCGUUAAGUUGCAGGGUAUAGACCCGAAACCCGGUGAUCUAGCCAUGGGCAGGUUGAAGGUUGGGUAACACUAACUGGAGGACCGAACCGACUAAUGUUGAAAAAUUAGCGGAUGACUUGUGGCUGGGGGUGAAAGGCCAAUCAAACCGGGAGAUAGCUGGUUCUCCCCGAAAGCUAUUUAGGUAGCGCCUCGUGAAUUCAUCUCCGGGGGUAGAGCACUGUUUCGGCAAGGGGGUCAUCCCGACUUACCAACCCGAUGCAAACUGCGAAUACCGGAGAAUGUUAUCACGGGAGACACACGGCGGGUGCUAACGUCCGUCGUGAAGAGGGAAACAACCCAGACCGCCAGCUAAGGUCCCAAAGUCAUGGUUAAGUGGGAAACGAUGUGGGAAGGCCCAGACAGCCAGGAUGUUGGCUUAGAAGCAGCCAUCAUUUAAAGAAAGCGUAAUAGCUCACUGGUCGAGUCGGCCUGCGCGGAAGAUGUAACGGGGCUAAACCAUGCACCGAAGCUGCGGCAGCGACGCUGAUGCGUUGUUGGGUAGGGGAGCGUUCUGUAAGCCUGCGAAGGUGUGCUGUGAGGCAUGCUGGAGGUAUCAGAAGUGCGAAUGCUGACAUAAGUAACGAUAAAGCGGGUGAAAAGCCCGCUCGCCGGAAGACCAAGGGUUCCUGUCCAACGUUAAUCGGGGCAGGGUGAGUCGACCCCUAAGGCGAGGCCGAAAGGCGUAGUCGAUGGGAAACAGGUUAAUAUUCCUGUACUUGGUGUUACUGCGAAGGGGGGACGGAGAAGGCUAUGUUGGCCGGGCGACGGUUGUCCCGGUUUAAGCGUGUAGGCUGGUUUUCCAGGCAAAUCCGGAAAAUCAAGGCUGAGGCGUGAUGACGAGGCACUACGGUGCUGAAGCAACAAAUGCCCUGCUUCCAGGAAAAGCCUCUAAGCAUCAGGUAACAUCAAAUCGUACCCCAAACCGACACAGGUGGUCAGGUAGAGAAUACCAAGGCGCUUGAGAGAACUCGGGUGAAGGAACUAGGCAAAAUGGUGCCGUAACUUCGGGAGAAGG